UAGCUAAUUGACCAAAAAACCAGAAAGUCUGUUAAACCUUAACAAACCCGAGUUGAAGCAUAGAAACGGCGGUGCUAAACCUCUUCUCUCCAAGCUCCGGGCCAAGCCGGUCCGGACCGCCUCGGGCAUCGCCGUCGUGGCCGUGAUGUCGAAGCCUCAUCGGUGCCCCCACAUCGCCACCACCGGUAAUAUUUGCGUGUACUGCUCCGGUGGUCCCGAUUCGGACUUUGAGUACAGCACUCAGUCUUACACUGGAUAGAAGCCUACUAGCUUGCGCGCAAUUCGGGCAACAUACAACCCAUAUGUCCAGGCUAGAAGCAGGAUAGAUCAGCUGAAGAGAUUGGGUCACAGUGUAGACAAGGUCGAGCUCAUCUUAAUGGGCGGUACUUUCAUGUCGUUGCCCGCGGAUUACUUUAGGCGAUCUCCGAUCGAUGGCUGAUCAGAUGACUCGUUUUAG
Molecule: non-coding RNA, 457 nt
Organism: Malus domestica (apple)
Lineage: Eukaryota; Viridiplantae; Streptophyta; Magnoliopsida; Rosales; Rosaceae
Source: RefSeq, a predicted model, not a curated record